This 253-nucleotide ribosomal RNA is filed under the name uncultured bacterium. RNAcentral describes it as "partial 16S ribosomal RNA". It matches the Rfam family "Bacterial small subunit ribosomal RNA", at positions 524 to 776 of the family's 1533-position model. The record is from RNAcentral.
UACAGAGGUCUCAAGCGUUGUUCGGAUUCAUUGGGCGUAAAGGGUGCGUAGGCGGCGAGGCAAGUCGGAUGUGAAAUCCCGGGGCUCAACCCUGGAACUGCAUUCGAUACUGCCUUGCUCGAGGACUCGAGAGGAGAUUGGAAUUCACGGUGUAGCAGUGAAAUGCGUAGAUAUCGUGAGGAAGACCAGUGGCGAAGGCGGAUCUCUGGAGAGUUCCUGACGCUGAGGCACGAAGGCCAGGGGAGCAAACGGG